CUCUCUGUAGCUCAGUUGGUUAGAGCGCUGCAAAUCGCAGAGCUGCAGGUUGGACUCCUGCCAGAGGUC
This 69-nucleotide transfer RNA is filed under the name Paramuricea clavata. RNAcentral's name for it is "tRNA-Ile". It matches the Rfam family "tRNA". Rfam says of the family: Transfer RNA (tRNA) molecules are approximately 80 nucleotides in length. Their secondary structure includes four short double-helical elements and three loops (D, anti-codon, and T loops). Lineage: Eukaryota; Metazoa; Cnidaria; Anthozoa; Malacalcyonacea; Plexauridae. The record is from RNAcentral.